This 550-nucleotide ribosomal RNA is filed under the name uncultured archaeon. RNAcentral describes it as "bacterial SSU rRNA". It matches the Rfam family "Archaeal small subunit ribosomal RNA", at positions 326 to 878 of the family's 1478-position model. The record is from RNAcentral.
CGGGGUGCAGCAGGCGCGAAACCUCUGCAAUAGGCGAAAGCCUGACAGGGUUACUCUGAGUGAUGCCCGCUAAGGGUAUCUUUUGGCACCUCUAAAAAUGGUGCAGAAUAAGGGGUGGGCAAGUCUGGUGUCAGCCGCCGCGGUAAUACCAGCACCCCGAGUUGUCGGGACGAUUAUUGGGCCUAAAGCAUCCGUAGCCUGUUCUGCAAGUCCUCCGUUAAAUCCACCUGCUCAACGGAUGGGCUGCGGAGGAUACCGCAGAGCUAGGAGGCGGGAGAGGCAAACGGUACUCAGUGGGUAGGGGUAAAGUCCAUUGAUCUACUGAAGACCACCAGUGGCGAAGGCGGUUUGCCAGAACGCGCUCGACGGUGAGGGAUGAAAGCUGGGGGAGCAAACCGGAUUAGAUACCCGGGUAGUCCCAGCUGUAAACGAUGCAGACUCGGUGAUGGGUUGGCCUCGAGCCAACCCAGUGCCGCAGGGAAGCCGUUAAGUCUGCCGCCUGGGGAGUACGGUCGCAAGACUGAAACUUAAAGGAAUUGGCGGGGGAGCA